CCUACGGGUGGCAGCAGUGAGGAAUAUUGGUCAAUGGGCGGAAGCCUGAACCAGCCAAGUAGCGUGCGGGAUGAAGGCCCUACGGGUCGUAAACCCUUUUUGCACGGGGAUAACACCCUCCACUUGUGGAGGUCUGCAGGUACCGUGCGAAUAAGGGCCGGCUAAUUCCGUGCCAGCAGCCGCGGUAAUACGGAAGGCCCGGACGUUAUCCGGCUUCAUUGGGCUUAAAGGGAUCGUAGGCGGGCGUUCAAGUCAGCUGUAAAAUCGCGAGGCUCAACCGGACACCGCAGGUGAAACCGGAAGGCUUGAGUACACAACAGGCAGGCGGAAUUCGAGGUGUAGCGGUGAAAUGCAUAGAGAUCACGAGGAACCCCGAUUGCGAAGGCAGCCUGCCGGAGUGCGACUGACGCUGAGGCUCGAAGGUGCGGGUAUCAAACAGGAUUAGAUACCCUGGUAGUC
Molecule: ribosomal RNA, 459 nt
Filed under: uncultured bacterium
Lineage: Bacteria
Description: partial 16S ribosomal RNA
Rfam family: Bacterial small subunit ribosomal RNA
Source: RNAcentral